CGCGGGGUGGAGCAGCCUGGUAGCUCGUCGGGCUCAUAACCCGAAGGUCGUCGGUUCAAAUCCGGCCCACGCAA
Molecule: transfer RNA, 74 nt
Filed under: Escherichia coli
Lineage: Bacteria; Pseudomonadati; Pseudomonadota; Gammaproteobacteria; Enterobacterales; Enterobacteriaceae
Description: tRNA-Met
Rfam family: tRNA
About the family: Transfer RNA (tRNA) molecules are approximately 80 nucleotides in length.
Source: RNAcentral